Molecule: ribosomal RNA, 59 nt
Filed under: Tumebacillus amylolyticus
Lineage: Bacteria; Bacillati; Bacillota; Bacilli; Caryophanales; Alicyclobacillaceae
Description: partial 16S ribosomal RNA
Rfam family: Bacterial small subunit ribosomal RNA
Source: RNAcentral
UUUAUUGAGAGUUUGAUCCUGGCUCAGGACGAACGCUGGCGGCGUGCCUAAUACAUGCA